UUCAUGUAUAUCGUGAUUACUUGAUUAUACGUCGUGCGGUUGACUGAAAACUGUGAGACCGUUGUGUUUUGUGUUGUUGGAUUAGCUUGUGUAAUGAUUAUUGAAAUAUGCAAAACGACAGGACAUGAUAGAAACUAAAUACGCAUUUUAAUAAGGUGGAUUUAACAACUGCUUGCUGGCUACAGAGAUCAAAGGGGUCCUGACUAUUCGCAAACAAUGGAUCGUAGAGGUCGGGGGCUGAAGACUGGGCAGGUGGUGGUGUUGGCUGAUGGAUACUGGUUACCGGAGACUGAGGCAUCAGGGAAUCUAGCCAGUCCGGGUCGUCCAUAUCCAUGGGCAUGUCACCGAUAUCCAUCAACUCCUGUGGAGUUUCCAUUUUCACGCCGAGAUCACAGUCCAGUGGUCCAAAAUCCAUCGGAUCCAAAGUUUCCAGAUCAAGACCCAAUUCCUGAAGGAAAAUCACAUGACCAACCAAUUUCAGAAAAGAUUCGAUAGUGAGUUUGAAAAAUAUUGUAGAACAGUUUUUCCCGAAAAUAUUAGGUCAUUGAAAAUAAAACAAAUUAUUGUUUCCACCUUGGCUUUACUACGGUUUGUAAAUAAAAUAUUUCCAUUCAACUGUGAUAUGUGGUUGACAUAAAAGAUUGUUGGCAAUUUU
Molecule: long non-coding RNA, 655 nt
Organism: Neodiprion fabricii
Lineage: Eukaryota; Metazoa; Arthropoda; Insecta; Hymenoptera; Diprionidae
Exons: 2
Source: RefSeq, a predicted model, not a curated record